AGGGCAAUAAUGUGGCCCUCAGCUGUUGGUUUAUUAGGUUUCCAUUCCCAUGAUCCACAUCUGCGUUAGGCAAAAAUAGUUUUACUUUUAAUACACUUGCGCUCCACCACUUUGCUGUCUUGCUGAGUAAAAAAUAGCUGUGAAAACCAUGCAGAUGAGUUUCCAAUGUUUGGGUGGACAGAAAAUUUAGAGGAUGCUGCGCCAGUCAACAUUUCUCCC
RNAcentral lists this long non-coding RNA (219 nucleotides) under Felis catus (domestic cat). RNAcentral describes it as "lncRNA (ENSFCAG00000045415.2)". The record is from RNAcentral. Lineage: Eukaryota; Metazoa; Chordata; Mammalia; Carnivora; Felidae.